Molecule: ribosomal RNA, 497 nt
Filed under: uncultured bacterium
Lineage: Bacteria
Description: partial 16S ribosomal RNA
Rfam family: Bacterial small subunit ribosomal RNA
Source: RNAcentral
GAUGAACGCUGGCGGCGUGCCUAAUACAUGCAAGUCGAGCGAACGGACGAGAAGCUUGCUUCUCUGAUGUUAGCGGCGGACGGGUGAGUAACACGUGGAUAACCUACCUAUAAGACUGGGAUAACUUCGGGAAACCGUAGCUAAUACCGGAUAAUAUUUUGAACCGCAUGGUUCAAAAGUGAAAGACGGUCUUGCUGUCACUUAUAGAUGGAUCCGCGCUGCAUUAGCUAGUUGGUAAGGUAACGGCUUACCAAGGCAACGAUGCAUAGCCGACCUGAGAGGGUGAUCGGCCACACUGGAACUGAGACACGGUCAAGACUACUACGGGAGGCAGCAGUAGGGAAUCUUCCGCAAUGGGCGAAAGCCUGACGGAGCAACGCCGCGUGAGUGAUGAAGGUCUUCGGAUCGUAAAACUCUGUUAUUAGGGAAGAACAUAUGUGUAAGUAACUGUGCACAUCUUGACGGUACCUAAUCAGAAAGCCAUGGCUAACUACGUG